AUCGAAUCUCCCAGCACAAUGGGAGUUUAGUUACACAUUAUCAUGAUAGCUUACAUGAAAAGAUAUAAAUGAGAUGAUGUUGUAUCAAAUGCUUGAAGCUUAAAGAUCCAAUGCUCCACCUUUGAUAAACCCUUGUUUUCUAAAGUCUCCAGGCAUUUCUUUCGUUCAAAAUAGUGACAGAUUUCCAAAAUGGAAAUGAAUUUUUCUUUAUAUGGUUAAGUGAUAAUUCGUUAAGCGGAUUAUAUGCUCACUGAACGAAUUGUAAUUUCUUUGAAAUCUUUUUCAGCUCGUCAAAGUGUGUCACUUGUUGUAAAAUUAGGCAUAAGAAUAUCCCUACAAAUAAUAAUCAACAUAUAAAUAUAAGAAUCAAUUUAUGUUAAUGAGAAUAAUCAAGAGAGGUUUCAAGGUAACUUAUAUGUCUUGAUUUUGUUGGUAGAAUUAGAUCACCGUCUUGGGACAACUUGAAUCAACCUCAUUGUAGAAUCAGCCGUAAAAAUGAACAAACAAUGAAAGGGUACUCCAAUUGUCAUCCCUAUCUCAUACCAAGUUUUUAUAUAGUUGGAAUAAUUAAUUGAUAAAAAACAUCAUUUCUAAUAAGUUUUUAUAUUUGUUACCUUAUGUAAAAGUAUAUUUACAUCAUUUAACAUAGCAAUCAAUAUGAAAAAAAUUUGAUUUAAUCGCAAAAUUAGCAUCAUUGUUUUACAUCAAUUGUGUAAUGAACUAGUGUAAAAGAUCCACAAUAAAAUCUUAUUUCUGCACUAGUGAAUUCUCAUAAGUUUCUUUUCUUAUAUUUUUUUUUUUUCUUUAAUAACUCACGAUAUUUACUCAAGCAAAUCAAACUACCAUUAUUCAUAUCUUGUCUGACUCAAGAAACACUGGUGACUGUGAAUGGUACUGCUAUGCUUUUAUUAUACAAGACAAAUAUUGUAUUUAAACACUCAACAUAAGAAACGUGACAAAUAGAGUACAGUUUUAUAUUUCAUGAUUUCUCAAAAAGAAACGUGGUAGGUGUUUGCCGACAAUUAUUUUUCUUUUUAUACUAUGUUGUUAGUCUUGCACAUGAAAAUUACGUCGGUUUUUAAGGAAAUAUCACAUGGUUUGUCAUAACUCUAAGUGCUAUUAUUGUAGUUCAAUGAGAUAUCAAAGCAAAGGUGGUAACACAGUUUGGAAUUAAAAGCAUGUCUAGAAACCCAAGUCAAACACAAUAAUUACUCAUAUGAUAAUAUUUGAAACUUUUGAAAUAUACUCAAAAUUUACAACACCACGAACCCGCCAUACUUUUCUACGUGAUUUAUAAUCUACUGCAGCGAAUGGUGACAUGUUGGUAGACUUCACUUUCCGACUCAAUUCGCUAAGCUAGCACAUCUCCUCGCUUAGCAAAAUCACUCAACUCAACUUCUUUGCCUUUUUAGCUUGCUCUUCAUUCAUGGUCCUUCAAUACUACAAAAUUGCAUUGGGAAAAAGAUCAUUUCGUAACACAUGAAAUAUUACACGGGAUCUAGUUAUGUAAUACUUACAUUAAUUGCAUUGAGUGAUUAUCGUUAGGUUUCUUGUCAAAUAAGCUAAUUAAUGAGUACGUCUUAAAUUAUUAUAUAAGUGAAAAUAAGUAAUUUUGACAUUUAUCAACAUCCAAAUUUAUGUUGGUUGUGUGUUCAGCAUAUACUACCUUUUUUUCCAAUCUUCAUAUAGUGAUUUAGGGGCUCUUGCCACCCCAAAGACCAGAUUUUUAUAACACACAUCACAUGAAAUAUUUACAUAAGCUUUUCAUUUGCUGCCACGUUUCAUAAUGUUAUUGUUGCUCUCUCUUUUAUAUUUUGCCAAAACGUUAAAUUGGCUCUAUCAAAGAUCACAUGCUUUGUCGCAAGUCAAAAACUCUCUAACUAGCAUUUUAUGAAUUAGUUACUUUAAAAUUCAUUUCGGAUUCUCAUAAAUAAAUAUUAGACUAAAGUCUAAAACAUACAAACUAAUUUAAAAAUGUCAAAAGCUUUAUAAGAAUAUCACACAAGAAAUAUAAAAUUAAGCAUGUACUUUCAUUUUCAUUCAAUUUAAGCUGUCACUGCUUGACCCUACUAUAUAUGACUUAUUUAUCUUUUAAUCUAAAUAUUUUCAGUCCACCCUUGACCUUGAGUUGAGUUUAUAAAUAUCACCAAAUGUUUCCACUUAGCUUUAAGCCAAUAAUCCUACCU
This 2186-nucleotide long non-coding RNA is filed under the name Medicago truncatula (barrel medic). RNAcentral describes it as "long non-coding RNA (MTRU_LNC003405)". The record is from RNAcentral. Lineage: Eukaryota; Viridiplantae; Streptophyta; Magnoliopsida; Fabales; Fabaceae.